RNAcentral lists this long non-coding RNA (952 nucleotides) under Brassica napus (rape). RNAcentral's name for it is "long non-coding RNA (BNAP_LNC017213)". Lineage: Eukaryota; Viridiplantae; Streptophyta; Magnoliopsida; Brassicales; Brassicaceae. The record is from RNAcentral.
GUGGUUUUGAAAUCAUUUCAUCUCUUGAAAAUACUAUAAAACUUUCUCAACAUUUCUUAAAAACCGAGUUGUUUGAAAACAUCGGAAAUGCUGACCCCUUAGGAUAGUACUAAAGAAUCUUAACCCCCGCUCUGAUACCAAUUGUAACAUCCUGAUCCCUCGGCGUCCGACCAGGGUUAUCGAAAGGGAGUUAUGGACACGUGUCUACUCAAUAGACAACCCUACGUGUCCCGUUAUUGGUCCCAAGAGUCGACGAACGCACUUCUUCAAUAAAAAGCCAGCCACCCAUAUCCACGCACUUCUACUUACAGUCCUACGCACAGGGAAAUAGAAAUGGAGGGGAUGAGCAAUUGGGAUUACUCAGUGAAGUGACUCUAGACCAUCCUGCCCGCAUGGAUCUCUAUACUCCUUUAUGCGGGGACCAGGGCUGGCUAGUCACUACAAUCAAUCAAAUGCAUUUGCAACAAUUCAACAUUCAACAUCUUCAAGCGAUCAAGAUUCCACACAUUUCUAUCAACCUAGCGAUCAAGCAAUACAAUGAGCUCAGUCAUUGCCACAUACAUAACUCAACAGACCCGACUGACUCAAAAUUCAAACUGACUCGACUCCACGCAACCUAGACAUAUGAACCUAUGGACGUUUACGGAUGUCCCUACGUGUUCCGGCCUAACCUAGAAGGGGCGCCCUUGAAAGAAACCAUCCCCCUCUAGCUUCCUAGAUAGCUAUCCGAAUCAUAGCACGUUGGCCCACCCGGCACUGUCUACUAUCCGGUCAUAAUAGCUAUAAUUAUGCCACGACACGGCAUUGACUCGAUCUUAAGGCGCCUACAUCCAUCCCGUCCUUUCACGGUCACUGUUCAUCAACGGUCCUUACUCACCUUUUCAUCUACGGGUGCUUCGUGUUAGGCUAAGCCCCGUAGGCCCUGCGGGUACCUCAUGUUAGGCUAAGUCUC